GAGAGGGGCGGUAGAGGGAGCAGCGAGGAAGCGAAGGGAACAAGGUCGCCAUAGCUAGAGCUCGCUCGCCUUCGCGCGCGCGAAAAGGGAAAGGAAAGGGGCGCGUCAGCAAAAGGGUCAGGGGCCGAAAGCCCCGCCGACCCAAGAAGCAGGAAUCGAGCGCGGCUGCUGCUGCUGUUGUCGUUGUCGUCGCCUUCUCCUUCCCCUCCCACUACCAACCCGGCCCCCGCCUCAGGGGGAGGCGGAGAGGGAAGCCGAGGCGGUGAAGAGCCCCCUCCAGCGUCCGCUUACACUCUGUGGACCACCUGAAUGAAGCUCACGGACCACAGUUUGGGAACCCCUGUUCUAUAGGAUACAAAUCUCUAGUGGACCACAAAAAAGAAAAAAAAUGAAGGCACAUGAGGUCACUACCUUGCUGAAGCUAAGCAGGUCUGGAUCUUGUCAGUGCUUGGAUGGGAUACCGCCUGAGAACUGCAUGUAUGCCACCUUAGGUUCUGUGAUGUAAGAAAGGUGGGGAUAACUGCAAGAAAAAACCCAGUGCCUGCAGGAAGAAGGAGAACAUCGCCACCCAGGGAAGGAGAGCCUGCUGUUGGAACACCACCUCCACCACUCUUCCCAGUGGGACUGCUGCCUGGCAGACGUGCCUCCUGCAGGACCAGGUCCCAGGUACCCAGCCAGCUGUGACUAAUUUCCAUCACCUGUCCCUCUUGGGAGGGAUACAUAAGCCGGCUGGCUGAGGUGGCCUGGGUUUUUGUCUUUUGUUUUGUUUUUGUUUUGCUGCUUUUUUUCUUUUUCUUUUGGGUGCCAUUGGUUUUAGCUAUGGGUGGGUUCGGUUU
This is a long non-coding RNA of Rhineura floridana, 836 nucleotides long. RefSeq lists it as uncharacterized. The record is from RefSeq and is a predicted model, not a curated record. The transcript has 4 exons. Lineage: Eukaryota; Metazoa; Chordata; Lepidosauria; Squamata; Rhineuridae.